This is a long non-coding RNA of Gossypium arboreum, 731 nucleotides long. RefSeq lists it as uncharacterized. NCBI's taxonomy places the organism in Eukaryota, Viridiplantae, Streptophyta, Magnoliopsida, Malvales, Malvaceae. The record is from RefSeq and is a predicted model, not a curated record. The transcript is spliced from 2 exons.
AACAAAGAGGACACAUAGGGCACAAUUAGAGGCGCCACGCGAAAGGAGGGAUCCAGCGCUCAAUUUACCCAUUCAAACAAAAAGGGCGUAGAUCCGACUCCUUUAUCGGGCCAACGCUCGGACUUCCAUGGGUGUAAACGGCGCCGUUUUGAUUUUAAUACUAAAAUCCCCUUCUUUCAUUCAUUUUCUUUCCAAAACACAGAUGAAAAACAACAGCCUUGCUCUGUGAAGGCUCCUUUCAUCGCGCAGCCACUAACCUUCAUCAGUUUGAUGGCUAACGGUGCGGAUAAUGGCCGGAUCUUACCCAUGGAGGCCGCAAUUCUGGAAAUCCGGUACGGAGAAGAUGACCUGGGGAUCUCACGUGAGAAGUCGUUCCUCUGGUGCCCUUCCAGUACAUUCCAGGAGCUUCUGAAAUUCUUGACUGCUGGAAUUCUUUUUGGGCUCUUUCGGGUUUGGGCUAGAUUUAGGGUAUGGGUUUAUUAGAAUUAGGUUUUGGGAUUUGGUCAAAAUUUAUGUAACUGGGUUAAGUUUAUAUUAAUGGAUUUUGGGUUUAAGUUACUUUUGGCCCAAAUAUUUGUAACUAGACAUUGGACUUUUGAUUUUGGGUUGUUUUUUUAUUUUUGUUUUAUUUUUGGUUUUUAAAUUCUAUUUUUUUAUUCUAAUGGGCCCGGGCGAAAUUGGUUGUCUACAAAUAUGUAUAAAAAUUUGACUAGGCUUGAGUAAUAAUUAAA